RNAcentral lists this ribosomal RNA (518 nucleotides) under uncultured bacterium. Its description in RNAcentral is "bacterial SSU rRNA". It matches the Rfam family "Bacterial small subunit ribosomal RNA", at positions 28 to 553 of the family's 1533-position model. The record is from RNAcentral.
GAUUAACGCUGGCGGCGUGCCUGACACAUGCAAGUCGAACGGGUGCUAGUUGCCCGCAAGGGUGGCUAGCGCUAGUGGCGGACGGGUGAGUAACACGUGGGCAACCUGCCUGAGAGUGCGGAAUAACCCUGCGAAAGCAGAGCUAAUACUGCAUGUGGUUGUCGGAUGGCAUCAUCUGACAACUAAAGUCGCAAGACGCUCUCAGAUGGGCCCGCGGCCUAUUAGCUAGUUGGUGAGGUAACGGCCCACCAAGGCAAUGAUGGGUAGCUGGUCUGAGAGGACGGACAGCCACACUGGGACUGAGACACGGCCCAGACUCCUACGGGAGGCAGCAGUGAGGAAUUUACCGCAAUGGGCGAAAGCCUGACGGAGCAACGCCGCGUGAGGGAUGAAGUCUCUAGGGAUGUAAACCUCUGUUGGGAGGGACGAAGAUCUGACGGUACCUCCUGAGGAAGCCCCGGCUAACUACGUGCCAGCAGCCGCGGUAAUACGUAGGGGGCGAGCGUUAUCCGGAUUUA